GUCAAGAUGGCCGAGUGGUUAAGGCGCCAGACUUAAGCUCUGGUCUUCGAGAAAGGCGUGGGUUCGAACCCCACUCUUGACA
This 82-nucleotide transfer RNA is filed under the name Daphnia pulex (common water flea). RNAcentral's name for it is "tRNA-Leu". It matches the Rfam family "tRNA". From Rfam's summary of the family: Transfer RNA (tRNA) molecules are approximately 80 nucleotides in length. Their secondary structure includes four short double-helical elements and three loops (D, anti-codon, and T loops). Lineage: Eukaryota; Metazoa; Arthropoda; Branchiopoda; Diplostraca; Daphniidae. The record is from RNAcentral.